UUUGGUGGUCAUAGCACGAGCAAAACACCCGGCUCCAUUCCGAACCCGGCCGUUAAGUGCCGUCGCGCCAAUGGUACUGCGUCUUAAGACGUGGGAGAGUAGGUCACCGCCAAACCUAGCAAAAACCUCAAAACAGUGUCUCUCACAAACGAUGA
This 155-nucleotide ribosomal RNA is filed under the name Thalassococcus halodurans. The record is from RNAcentral. Lineage: Bacteria; Pseudomonadati; Pseudomonadota; Alphaproteobacteria; Rhodobacterales; Roseobacteraceae.